Molecule: long non-coding RNA, 384 nt
Organism: Vigna unguiculata (cowpea)
Lineage: Eukaryota; Viridiplantae; Streptophyta; Magnoliopsida; Fabales; Fabaceae
Source: RefSeq, a predicted model, not a curated record
CAUCAUUUUGAACUAGGAACAACUACAACAAUUAAGUGUGAUGGAGACAAAAAUGCUAAGGUUUAGUAUGUUCCUUCUGUUUCUAGUCUUAGCCGCAGAUGUUGCGGUGAAGACAACAGAAGCAAAAGAAUGUUGGCAAGCAAGUCUGACAUUCAAGGGUGUAUGCAUAAUCAGCGGCAACUGUGCAAAAACAUGCAUUAGCGAAGGUGAAACUGGUGGCAAAUGUAGAGGCUUCCCUCCCCACUGCGACUGUUACUACAUUUGUUGAAAUUAAUUCACUCGUUGUUCCUUUUUUCAUUAAUAAAAGUCUAGUAUGUAGUCAUUUUCGGCUCGGGUUAUCAAAUUUAUUAAUUAAUAAGAACAUUUAAAUAUGUCUUUCUUCAA